GAGGAAUAUUGGUCAAUGGACGCAAGUCUGAACCAGCCAAGUAGCGUGCAGGAUGACGGCCCUAUGGGUUGUAAACUGCUUUUAUGUGGGAAUAAAGUGGCGCACGUGUGCGCCAUUGCAUGUACCUCAUGAAUAAGGACCGGCUAAUUCCGUGCCAGCAGCCGCGGUAAUACGGAAGGUCCGGGCGUUAUCCGGAUUUAUUGGGUUUAAAGGGAGCGUAGGCCGUGGAUUAAGCGUGUUGUGAAAUGCAGGUGCUCAACGUCUGCACUGCAGCGCGAACUGGUCCACUUGAGUGUGCACAACGCAGGCGGAAUUCGUCGUGUAGCGGUGAAAUGCUUAGAUAUGACGAAGAACUCCGAUUGCGAAGGCAGCUUGCGGGAGCACAACUGACGCUGAAGCUCGAAAGUGCGGGUAUCGAACAGGAUUAGAUACCCUGGUAGUCCGCACGGUAAACGAUGGAUGCCCGUUGUCAGGCUGUUUCAGCCUGGUGACCAAGCGAAAGCAUUAAGCAUCCCACCUGGGGAGUACGCCGGCAACGGUG
This 541-nucleotide ribosomal RNA is filed under the name uncultured bacterium. Its description in RNAcentral is "bacterial SSU rRNA". It matches the Rfam family "Bacterial small subunit ribosomal RNA", at positions 356 to 896 of the family's 1533-position model. The record is from RNAcentral.